GCCACGGCAGCAGAGGUGCGACUGUGUAGGCCUAUAGGUGAGCGGGAAAUAUGCGACGCCGUGGCGCUCAAUGGGAGCUCCCCUCCUCGCAGUUUGAGAGUCUCUGAGUCCAUCUGCUGUCCUAAAUGGACGCAGCUGUGCAGCGGGUAUCUGGCCAGGUGAUAAUCCAAAUCUCAUGCAAGAUAGCACAAGAAUUUAAUUCUGCUUGGAAGCCAGAUGUCAAACCUUCCCAUCAGCACAUGAAAGCACAAAGAGGAGCAAGCUCACAUAAUCACCACAUGCUCAACGUCCCGCUGCUGCAGCCAGUAAUCGAGACUGACACAUGACCAUGGCGGGGUAGACGUUCAGGGACAAGCUCACCUUGAUGUGGAACAACCAAUCAGAGGCCAGUAUGUCCGUCCAUCUAAUGUGUAGCACCUCUAUAAAAAGACCUCCAACCAUCCUGGAAAAUCUACCACGAAAAACAACAAGCAGAGAAGCGGGAUGGAAGAGAUAUCAUCUCUGUGUCACAUCAUCAAUGCAUUCACACACUUACAUACACACACACACACACACACACACACAGUGACACACACCAUACUGA
Molecule: long non-coding RNA, 583 nt
Organism: Siniperca chuatsi (mandarin fish)
Lineage: Eukaryota; Metazoa; Chordata; Actinopteri; Centrarchiformes; Sinipercidae
Exons: 3
Source: RefSeq, a predicted model, not a curated record